UACGUAGGGGGCAAGCGUUGUCCGGAAUCAUUGGGCGUAAAGCGCGUGUAGGCGGCUCGAUAAGUCUGCUGUGAAAGUCCAGGGCUCAACCCUGGGAUGCCGGUGGAUACUGUCGAGCUCGAGUCCGGAAGAGGCGAGUGGAAUUCCCGGUGUAGCGGUGAAAUGCGCAGAUAUCGGGAGGAACACCAGUAGCGAAGGCGGCACUCUGGGCCGGUACUGACGCUGAGGAGCGAAAGCGUGGGGAGCGAACAGG
This 253-nucleotide ribosomal RNA is filed under the name uncultured bacterium. RNAcentral's name for it is "partial 16S ribosomal RNA". It matches the Rfam family "Bacterial small subunit ribosomal RNA", at positions 524 to 776 of the family's 1533-position model. The record is from RNAcentral.